Molecule: unclassified non-coding RNA, 216 nt
Filed under: uncultured Tomentella
Lineage: Eukaryota; Fungi; Basidiomycota; Agaricomycetes; Thelephorales; Thelephoraceae
Description: sequence contains ITS2
Source: RNAcentral
ACACCUCAACUCCCAUGGUUUGCCAUGGUGAGCUUGGACUUUGGGGGUUUUGCUGGCCCACGGUCGGCUCCUCUCAAAUGAAUUAGCCUGCCAGUGUUUGGUGGCAUCACGGGUGUGAUAAAUAUCUACGCUUGCGAUUGUCCACCAGGUAACCUUCAGCAAUGGGGGUUCGCUGGGGCUCAUAAAUGUCUCCCGAGUGAAGACAGCCUUCUGAAC